GACGAACGCUGGCGGCGUGCUUAACACAUGCAAGUCGAACGGAAAGGCCCUGCUUUUGUGGGGUGCUCGAGUGGCGAACGGGUGAGUAACACGUGAGUAACCUGCCCUUGACUCUGGGAUAACUUCAGGAAACUGGGGCUAAUACCGGAUAGGAGCUCCUGCUGCAUGGUGGGGGUUGGAAAGUUUCGGCGGUUGGGGAUGGACUCGCGGCUUAUCAGCUUGUUGGUGGGGUAGUGGCUUACCAAGGCUUUGACGGGUAGCCGGCCUGAGAGGGUGACCGGCCACAUUGGGACUGAGAUACGGCCCAGACGCCUACGGGAGGCAGCAGUGGGGAAUAUUGCACAAUGGGCGGAAGCCUGAUGCAGCAACGCCGCGUGCGGGAUGACGGCCUUCGGGUUGUAAACCGCUUUCGCCUGUGACGAAGCGUGAGUGACGGUAAUGGGGAAAGAAGCACCGGCUAACUACGU
This 467-nucleotide ribosomal RNA is filed under the name uncultured bacterium. RNAcentral describes it as "partial 16S ribosomal RNA". It matches the Rfam family "Bacterial small subunit ribosomal RNA", at positions 28 to 506 of the family's 1533-position model. The record is from RNAcentral.